UAGACGACGAGGUUGAUAGGUUCGAGGUGGAAGUGCAGCAAUGCAUGCAGCUGACGAAUACUAAUCGGUCGAGGGCUUAUCCUA
RNAcentral lists this ribosomal RNA (84 nucleotides) under Bacillus sp. 3255. RNAcentral describes it as "partial 23S ribosomal RNA". It matches the Rfam family "Bacterial large subunit ribosomal RNA", at positions 2841 to 2925 of the family's 2925-position model. Lineage: Bacteria; Bacillati; Bacillota; Bacilli; Caryophanales; Bacillaceae. The record is from RNAcentral.